Cotesia glomerata is the source of this 321-nucleotide long non-coding RNA. RefSeq lists it as uncharacterized. The record is from RefSeq and is a predicted model, not a curated record. NCBI's taxonomy places the organism in Eukaryota, Metazoa, Arthropoda, Insecta, Hymenoptera, Braconidae. The transcript is spliced from 2 exons.
GAAGUUAUUACUGCGAAAUAAAAAAUAAUAAAAUAAAUCUCUGUAAUUAUUAUGAAAUCAGAUAAAAAGAUAAAUUAGCCAUCGCGAAUCAGACUGUGAAUAAUUAUAACGUAAAUAUUGAAUAUCUAUGAUGGCGGUUGCUUACUGUUUAAUACUAGACACACCAUCAAUUACAGUCGACAAACCUUUUAUCUGCGCAAUAGUGGCGACUGAUACGGGAAUGCAACUUUUCAAUGCACGCAUUAAUGACCCGACGUUAAUUUAAAUUUUAUAAUGUCAUGUUGUAAUUAAGACUAAUAAUAUCUGGCUAAUAGUGAGUCU